CCUGGUGGGGGAUGACACUCUGGACCUGGAGUCUGAAGACCUCGUUUUCUGUCUCUGAGCUUCAGUUUUCUCAUCUAUGAAAUGGGAAUCAUAACACACGCUUGAUGUGACUCUCAGGGCUGCCCUAAGGAUACUGAAAAAUGGCGAAUGACGGCGUGCUUUGUACACAGUGGGUCGUCCAAGGGGAGCCAGAGAGUGCCUCUUUCUGGCAUGCCUGAGCCUCCGGAGCUGGAGAAGCCUCCUUUGGUCUCCUAGACUGCCUUUUCUCCUCCCAUCUGUCUCAACCUGCACAAAUCCUGCCGGGCUCUGCACAUUGCUCUGUGUUGACGGAUCCACCAUAUUAGCCUUGCCUGGCCCUUUCCUUCGUCCUUAGAAGACUCAUGACUCCAGCUGAGCUUAUGGGUGAACUCUUUCACAGCAGAAACUGCUUUGCCCUUCCUUCCCCAUGGGCCUUGUACCUGGUCAAGCCUGCAUCUUUCAGCUCUCUGGUCAUCCAGAGGGAAGUCUCACAUGAGUCUUGGUGAGAAUCUUCAACUUGGCCGUGCAAGUUUUCUGAUACUUUCAAUCCAGUUCAAGAUAAGAUACAUACAGCAGUCACACACCCUGAAUCUCAGAUUCUCAGAGGGGUUGAUCCCUCUGAAACAUCUUGCAACCAAAACUCCAUCUUGGCGUCUGCUUCCUUCUGAAGAACUCAACCUGGGACACAGUAAGAGGACAGAUCACCUACCUGUGAGGACCCCUGUGAUUCAGUCUGCCUUUCCCUGGCCACGACCCCAUCCUUGCCCCUGUCUGAUGUCCAAGCUGCCCCUGCUGAGACAGACCUGGCCUCUUCUGGACAGCUCCAGUCACAUAAGGACUCCAUAGCUUGUGUGGGCUCAGAGCACUUUGGCUGCAGAGAGGAAAGUCUUUACCACUGGGCAGGACUCACUAGUUCGUGAUGAAGAUGGUGACACGCCCACCUGGAGAGAUGUACACGGUUUCCUUGGAGGAAGCCCACGGCCUGGAGUGAAUC
Long non-coding RNA from Homo sapiens (human), 1012 nucleotides. RefSeq lists it as uncharacterized. The transcript has 4 exons. NCBI's taxonomy places the organism in Eukaryota, Metazoa, Chordata, Mammalia, Primates, Hominidae. The record is from RefSeq and is a predicted model, not a curated record.